UAGGCAGAAGCCAGCAGGCAGAGCAAGGAUCUUAAACCAACACCAGGCUAAGAGAGGUUAAAGUGCUUGCCCAGUAUCAUGGAGUAAGGGACAAUCAGAACUGGACCUCUCGUGGGCUGACUUCUCAGUCAGAGGCAGUGUGAUCUUGAGCAAGUUACGGAGCCUCUCUCUGCACUUCAGUUUCCUCCAACAGAAGUAAUAACGGCUCCAUACCAGGGAGAACUAAAUGAGAUAAAGGUAAAAGGGUCAGCAGCUUUUGGCACUUGGGAUCAGAACUGAGCCUGAGAGGAACAGAUGGUCAGAUUUUUUCAUCUUUGGCCUAAGUCACAAACUUCCCACAUUGAUAUUUGAUUGAGAGGGCACUGGAGAUAUACUAAGGAUGAAGAGAGAGAGACUGACUGCUCCCACUGAGUGGGUGGUACUGAUGAAAAGCAAGUAGACAAUAACCAUGUGGCUUAUUAGGGAUGAUCCACUGGAGAGACUGGAAAAGAGGCAUCUUCUGUAGGCAUCUGCCAGCAUGGCAUGCAUAUUGAAAUCCCAAUUCAGGAAUGAAAAUCUGAAACCAAGCUAUCUGCUUUUGUGUACUCUGGCACUGCAUCAUUUAAAAUAAUCCAAGAAUGAAAAUAUGAGCUAAGCUGUUUGCUUUUUUAAACAUUGAGCGUGUCAAUCCUGAAAUUCCACUGGACAAGCAUUUACUCUCCACAAAGGUAAGAGUUCCUGUUGACCUUGAAUUAUUCAGAUGUCUAACAAUACAGUACCCUCCAAUAUGUGUUCAUUCUGAACAAAUAGAAUUUGGACCAAAUUAUCUCACGAUCACAAUCAAUUAUAGCUCACUAAAUAACAUAGAGAUUAAAUGUUUUUAGGAGAGCAUUUGAGAUGUGAGGCUCUGAAAUCAUUGCACCCUGAGUUUGAAUGCAAGCUCUGGCACUUACAAGGCGUUUAUCCUUGGGAAAGUUACUCUGCCUGUCUAAGGCCCCAGUUUCCUUGGUGAUAAAAUGGGGAUAAUAAAAUAUUUCAUUACGAUCUUCUUAGGGCUAAAUAUAAUAGUGCAUAUAGAAUAUUUACUAUAGUAGCUUUCUUAAUAC
Long non-coding RNA from Neofelis nebulosa (Clouded leopard), 1085 nucleotides. RefSeq lists it as uncharacterized. NCBI's taxonomy places the organism in Eukaryota, Metazoa, Chordata, Mammalia, Carnivora, Felidae. The record is from RefSeq and is a predicted model, not a curated record. The transcript is spliced from 4 exons.